Non-coding RNA from Salvelinus sp. IW2-2015, 1034 nucleotides. The record is from RefSeq and is a predicted model, not a curated record. NCBI's taxonomy places the organism in Eukaryota, Metazoa, Chordata, Actinopteri, Salmoniformes, Salmonidae.
CACACGCAUAUACAUUAUGAGCACGCAAAUAUAUUCAUGUGGUGCAGCUGGCUUGGCACUACCUUAAAAAUGGUUGCGCUCUACACCACGUGACGCGAUUCCUGGAAAGUUCUUGGAAAUCGGUCUUUUGUGUAUAGCUGUGGGUUUAAUGGGGAUUUGGUUAUUCAAAACACAUACCGAAGGAAGGGGAUUCAACGCCGCGGAAAAGACUGUCAUUGGGAUUUGUACUAAACACAAGACAAGCGUGGUUUGGUGACUUUCUGCAUGGUAUUUUAAAUCUUAACAUUACCAGCAGCAAGCGAGUCGUGCGGAGUCGACUUGCCUCGUUCGCUGUCAUCGCCUGUUUUGCACCACGGGUUGGAAAAUAUUCUUAGUUUGCCAUCUCGCCAAAAAUGACAACCGAUUGAUUAGCCCGCCAGAAGAUAAAUAUUACCACAUGGAAAACGAACUAUGUAAUCUGUCAUCUUUCAAUGUGAUCGACAUGGCUAAACUAGCUAGCUGUUCCAUGGAAGUGUAUAGUUAACGAACGGUUUUGUGCUUUGUUUAUUCAUCUUAGUCCCCUUUUCUUUAGGGAGAAGUGUGUAUUUCAAUGGUCAUCGGUUGAGUCGUUUGGGGCUGGAUCCACUCGCAAAUAGGACGAUUCAUUCAUAAAAUUCGAGAAGAAACCUGCAGAAGAAACUUGUUUUGCGACUGUGGGGCAACUGCCUGUCUUUUGGGGAAUCUUUUUGCAUUUGUCGGAUGUCUUUUGGCCUACGGCUGGGCAAUUUCGGGUGGUUCCCCAAUGACCUGCCACUCACCCGAAUCCACCGAGACCAUCGAAAAUGAGAGAAGAACGGAUACCGAGUCGCGAGUUGUUGACUCCGAUGAGACUCGCAUCGGUCAAGCCAYGAAAGACCUUAAAAAUACAGGAUUGCCAUUAUUGGAAUGCUGUGGAGAGGGGGGAUCAUGAAGAUCUUGUCCAAUGUGAUCUUAAAAUGGAGGUGGUCAUUUUAUUAGGCUGGUACUGGCAGCCUGCACCGCCACGAAGCCAAAGA